RNAcentral lists this ribosomal RNA (460 nucleotides) under uncultured bacterium. Its description in RNAcentral is "bacterial SSU rRNA". It matches the Rfam family "Bacterial small subunit ribosomal RNA", at positions 337 to 794 of the family's 1533-position model. The record is from RNAcentral.
UCCUACGGGGGGCAGCAGUAAGGAAUAUUGGUCAAUGGACGAAAGUCUGAACCAGCCAUGCCGCGUGAAGGAUGAAGGUCCUCUGGAUUGUAAACUUCUUUUAUAUGGGACGAAAAAAGGGUUUUCUAACUCGUCUGACGGUACCAUAUGAAUAAGCACCGGCUAACUCCGUGCCAGCAGCCGCGGUAAUACGGAGGGUGCAAGCGUUAUCCGGAUUCACUGGGUUUAAAGGGUGCGUAGGUGGGUUGGUAAGUCAGUGGUGAAAUCCCCGAGCUUAACUUGGGAACUGCCAUUGAUACUAUCAGUCUUGAAUACCGUGGAGGUCAGCGGAAUAUGUCAUGUAGCGGUGAAAUGCUUAGAUAUGACAUAGAACACCAAUUGCGAAGGCAGCUGGCUACGCGAAUAUUGACACUGAGGCACGAAAGCGUGGGGAUCAAACAGGAUUAGAUACCCCGGUAGU